AUCACUUCCGUCUGGGAAGGUCGACGAGGAGACGAUUCCAAAAAUUAAGUCGCCGCCGUGGUUUGACAAAGACUUCACAACUUCGAUCAACUAUUCAGUGGUGCGAAGUCGACAUUCCCCAUCUAAAUCGAUAUCAAAUUUUUUAUUUUUUUCGAUUUAAACCUUGCCUCUGUGUUGCGAAAUGGUUGACAGUUUGCAGCGCCGUGCCACUUCGUUGUAGCUGAAAGGAGCGGUUUAGGUACAUAAGCACUCGUUGUCGCUGUUCACGACUUACGCUUCUUGAAUGGGCGCGAAACUAUAGUGUGAUUAGUAGGACACUAGUACAACUGGAUCACAUUGAUCGGUUCCGUCACUUCAGUGAUGCAUAUUGCAUUGCUAAUUUGCAAAUGGACCCUAAUACCAUCGGGCACGUAUGCUACCUUUUAAAAAAGAGGGGUUGGUUGCGUAUGGGUAAAUCCCUCGCAGUGGAAGAACAAGUUGCUAUAUUCGUCGGUGUCCUAGCUCACUAAAAGAAAAAUCAGAAGGCAGGUUUUGAAUUCUGGAGAUCUGGAGCCACCAUUUCUUUGUAUAUGCACCAAGUGUUGGGUGUUGUUUUGAACCUCCAUGAAGUUCUGCUGGCCAUGCCAGCUCCAGUGUUGGAUGAUUGCAAGGACCAUAGGUGGAAAUGGUUUAAGGGCUACCUCGGUGCGUUGGAUGGUACACACAUUAACUUCUUAGUAAGUAAUACAUACAAACCACAGUUUCGUUCUAAGAAGGAGCAAAUAUCGACAAACACCCUUGUGGUUUGUGAUCGGAACAUGCAAUUUGUCUAUGUUUUACUUGGAUGGGAGGGUUCGGCAGGUGACUCUCGAGUUUUGAGGGAUGCUGUGACUCGGGUUAACGGUUUGAAGGUUCCAAAAGGGUGUUAUUACUGGCGUGAUAAUGGCUACACGAAUAGUGAAGGGUUCUUGAAACCUUACAGAGGAGUUCGCUAUCAUCUGAUGGAAUGGGCUCCAGGCACUGACGCCCUACAAAAUGCUAUCGAGUUGUUCAAUAUGCGCCACUCGAAAGCAAUGAAUGUAAUUGAGAGGGUGUUUGUCGUACUAAAGAUGCGUUCGAGGAUCCUCCAGCGUGUAUUCUCUUAUCCAAUUAAAAUGCAGAUUCGUCUAAUAAUGGCUUGGUUUAUGUUGCAUAACUUCAUACGUCGUGAGAUGGAAAUAGAUCCAAUUGAAGUUGAAAUAGACGAUGACAGCCUCGGGGUGAUUCUUCAAGACGACAACGGUCCUGCUGAAUUUGUUGAAUUUGUUGAGCCAUCAAAUAAGUGGCAUAAAAAGGCAUGAAAUAGCUCAAGAAAUGCGGCUGAAUAGAUGAAGGAAUUAGUUUUGUUUUCUCAUUUUAUCUUGAUUUGUGUGUUCUUAUAUUUGGAUUGUAGACUUCCGUACACUAAACCGACAAUGAUCAAAGAUGGACAACAUCCCGGUGUGCUUGUAUGGCAAGGGGAAAAUGGAGGUUUGCUGUGCCGGCCAAGCUGAAAAGCAUCCUGGACGGUACUACUACAAGUGCCCUAUUGGUGACAAACACCCGAGUUCAUUCAUAUGGUGUGAUGAACACCUUCAUGCAUCUGGUAAAGGAGACAAUCAUCAAUCGACCACCACCUUUACACCUGACAUUGGUGAACUCUACCAAUCAGAAACUACAAAGGAUACAAUGUGCAUUGUUUGUGAGUUGAUCAAGAAAUAGCUUGAGCUCGUAUGCAUCAUAGUAUUCGGGUUCAUAAUUGUACUUGUCUUGCUUGGUAUUAUGAUUGGGAAGAUUUUUUAGGCAUGAUUUAGGGGUUGUUUUAUGUUAUUUAGAGUACCGUGUGAACCUUGUUUCCUCAUUAUGUAAACUUCUGGAUUUA
Salvia splendens (bonfire salvia) is the source of this 1879-nucleotide RNA transcript. RefSeq lists it as uncharacterized. NCBI's taxonomy places the organism in Eukaryota, Viridiplantae, Streptophyta, Magnoliopsida, Lamiales, Lamiaceae. The transcript has 5 exons. The record is from RefSeq and is a predicted model, not a curated record.